GGGGUUGUAGCUCAGCAGUAGAGCACUCACCUAGCAUGUGUGAGGCCCUAGGUUUGAUCCUUAGCUCCA
This is a non-coding RNA of Ictidomys tridecemlineatus (thirteen-lined ground squirrel), 69 nucleotides long. NCBI's taxonomy places the organism in Eukaryota, Metazoa, Chordata, Mammalia, Rodentia, Sciuridae. The record is from Rfam.